AAAAAUAAAAAAAUUAUUACUCGUAUAAUCGUGGUGAUAUGGACCACAAGUUUCUACCGGGCUACCGUAAAUAGCCUGACUAUGAGUGAAGAUUAGCAUUGU
This 102-nucleotide non-coding RNA is filed under the name Amphibacillus xylanus. Its description in RNAcentral is "Guanine sequence". It matches the Rfam family "Purine riboswitch aptamer". From Rfam's summary of the family: Riboswitches are metabolite binding domains within certain messenger RNAs that serve as precision sensors for their corresponding targets. Allosteric rearrangement of mRNA structure is mediated by ligand binding, and this results in modulation of gene expression. The record is from RNAcentral. Lineage: Bacteria; Bacillati; Bacillota; Bacilli; Caryophanales; Bacillaceae. RNAcentral also lists the same sequence under 1 other name.